UAGCUUCUUGAAGGGUGCUGACUCUUUUUGUGCUAGGACGAACCCAUCUCCACCUACACAGAAGGGCCAAGCUCAAGUGCCCCAAACAGAUGCAUACAUUAUAGCUUCUGAAAUUGUGAGAAAUGGCAAAGCUUCGCUUAAGGGAAAGGCUCAAGCUGGUGACGGCUCGAGUAGUGCACAACCACCCAACAUGGAUAAGCAUGAGAAGGCAUCCACCAAUGGGAUUAAAUUAAUAUAUGAAGCCACAACUUGUGGUUGCUCUAAAGAUAUACCCCUUGUUGACCUUACUGGGGGGUACAGAGGUGGUCGCCGAUGAAUAGCAAACAGGCACAGAACACAUGUUGCCUAGAUCAAACAUCGCCAAGAAGGCGAAAAGGGCACUUGCAGUUAGGUUCAAGAGGAAGAGCGGCAACAACCCAAAGGUUUCUGAAUAGAGCCAUGUUGAGAAGGCAUGCAAGGUGGAUUCAGACUGUAAGUGUUGCAAACGCCCCUCUCUUUGAUUUCUGCUUCUUACUUAGAUGGGUCAUAACCUAUGAAUAUUAUGAUGUGCUUUACAAUGAGCGAUACCUAGAGUGUAGCAGCAAGCCAAGAUUUAAUGGAGAAGAUAUGCUCUGACAUCAAGGUUCGUGUUGAGGGGCCUGAUAAAUCACCCAUUGUUGAGUUCAAGGCCAAUCUGCCAUCUUUUGAUCCUUCCCCCGAUAAAUACGACCGAGUACCGGGAGUCAUUCUAAAAGCCCCGGACAUCACCGAGGAAUCACAACGUGAUUUAUUUUUGUAUGGCAAGCAACACCUGCAAACUAUCCAUGGUCUUGCAAGUGACACAAAGCUCGACAAACCCAUGUUCAUUGAAAAAAUUGAUAAGUUGUUGGCCCGUUGGGAGAAACUGUUCUCUGCCCAAUUUAGUGAGGGUAUGGAGCAGAUGGUGGAAGCACUCAAGGACCUGAGAGAACUUCUUGUGGGCGAUUCUGCACCACUUCUCCCCUUUAAUGCCUCUGCUGUUGCUGCUCAAAAAACUAAGGUUCAGGAGGCACUAAAUAAGGCUCCUGCCAUCAAAGAGGCCAUCCCUGUAGCUUUAGCAAAGAUUGAAGAAGUUGAAAUUGCGGCCAAGAUAAAAUGUGCGGCUCUAACUACUUCUAUGAAGCAUCAAGAAUAGGAGGUUGCAAAGCUAAAGGCCUCGCUGGAACUCGCAGAGGCAAAUCUAAAGGAGACACAAGGCCAUCAUGCUGAAAUAGAAGAGUUCUUCAAGAAAAGUGAAGCACCUCAGCAGGAUCUGCACAAGGCUUCAGAAGAUGUGAAGGAGAAUCUCAAUCGCCACGGACUUGCACAAACAGAGAUACAAAGAUGCAUGGAGGUGGUCACUCAGGGGCAUCUCAGCCCAAACUAGUGUGUUCUCUGCAUGCUUUCAUGCAAUCUUCCUCUUGUGAGCACAGGUGCUAGCAAACAUGUAUUUUUUGAACGUGAGCAGAGUCUUGCAAGAUGCCAGUACCGCUGGUGAUCGACCAGCUGGAAUCAUGGGCGCUACCAAGGGACUAACAUAGCUACAUGAGUGCUAGGUAAGGUGUUUUAAUGGCAAGGGAUGACAAGAGAAAAUGCUUUACCGCUUCCCUUUUUUAUGAUUUCUAGUGAUAUACUACUAGCAUAAAGCAUGGUUCCUGAUGCGCGUACUUGUCGCAACCUGAUAUUCAAAAGUGAAACUAGCCACUUCAUUUUUACUAGCAACAUCCCACGUACAGCUUUGGCUAGGCCUUUGAGUCAAACUGCUCUAGCCUUUAGAAACCACAUACUAUUUGCACUCCUUAUCAACACUAGUCUUUGGAUUUUUUUAGAUCACAUAAUAUUCGUGCGUAUUCAAAACAGCUAGUCUAGCAUGUUUUGCUGGCGACAUUACUGGUUGUUGUUAGCCCCAACACUCUACUUAUGGUUCAACACUGUACUUAUGCACAACAACAUCAACAUUCGAGGCCAGAUGAACAAAACAUCAAUGACUCAUGAAGUCGAUGUAUAUCUCUCAUCAAUAAUAUUGCAUCCAUGAUUAAAUAAAAUCCAAUGAAACACUACAAAUUCAUAUGUAGUACUUUUCUUUUUACGAGUAUCUCCUUUCCAAACAUACGUCCGAUAAAUGGAAUGUAAUACAUGAAGACCAUGUUAACCUAAUUGAACCGUUUCAUCGGUUAGAGUUCGCCAUCGGCAUUACAUCUUGCUCCAUCGUGGGAUUUAGGAUAUGGCUGAUUCAGAUGGGUUUGUGUGGGUAAAUGGCUCUUGAAGAUUUGCCAUUACUUUUGCUGAGGGGUGGCAAAUGGUUACUAUCUGCCUUCCUUCUGGGUGGACCCCUUAUUGCUUGGACUUGAUGGACCUACUUCUCGAACUUGAUACAAUUCUCUUCUCUGAUUUUUCAUGCGGUUUAGCUUGAUGACAAUAGACUUGAAAUUGAUUUUAUUUUUUUCUCGAACUUGCU
Molecule: non-coding RNA, 2455 nt
Organism: Triticum urartu
Lineage: Eukaryota; Viridiplantae; Streptophyta; Magnoliopsida; Poales; Poaceae
Source: RefSeq, a predicted model, not a curated record